GUCCAGACUCCUACGGGAGGCAGCAGUGGGGAAUAUUGCACAAUGGGGGGAACCCUGAUGCAGCGACGCCGCGUGGGUGAAGGAGUAUUUCGGUAUGUAAAGCCCUAUCAGCAGGGAAGAACAAUGACGGUACCUGACUAAGAAGCACCGGCUAAAUACGUGCCAGCAGCCGCGGUAAUACGUAGGUGGCAAGCGUUGUCCGGAUUUACUGGGUGUAAAGGGCGUGCAGCCGGGCUGACAAGUCAGAUGUGAAAUCCCGCGGCUCAACCGCGGAACUGCAUUUGAAACUGUCAGUCUUGAGUACCGGAGAGGUCAUCGGAAUUCCUUGUGUAGCGGUGAAAUGCGUAGAUAUAAGGAAGAACACCAGUGGCGAAGGCGGAUGACUGGACGGCAACUGACGGUGAGGCGCGAAAGCGUGGGGAGCAAACAGGAUUAGAUACCCCCGUAC
Molecule: ribosomal RNA, 448 nt
Filed under: uncultured bacterium
Lineage: Bacteria
Description: bacterial SSU rRNA
Rfam family: Bacterial small subunit ribosomal RNA
Source: RNAcentral